AACAAGCAGCAGCUGCUGGGGAGCAGGAGAUUAUUUAGGUGGGCUUCCAGGGGCAUCCUGUAACUGUAGGGUUGAGCUUGUGGGGGCUCUGCUUGGGGUUGUUUGCUGCCUUUGGAUGGGGCUCCUGUCCUGGCUCUCUCUGUCAGAUCUCACUUAGCUACCAGUCCACCCUUGGAUUAUGGGAACUGGUGAGGCCAAGCAUUGGGAAGACACCUUGUCCCUCCUCAGCUUUGCUUCACCACGUGGUGCCAGAUAGGAAGCCUGUUUAGCGAUGUCACUUGUUCCUGCCUUCCCUGGGUGAGGGUGCUCUGUGUGCAAAUGGACAAACACUUCCAUUUGCAAAGGUUCACCAUGUGUUGUAAGCAGAGAAGAGCCAAAGCUUUGGACACUGUCUAUGAAUCUGUGUUGCCACAGAAGUCACUUCUGUCUGCAUGUGCAGCAGUUACACUUCUAACUCAGCUGUCAGAUCUUUCAGAUAUUAUUAACCACUGUGGAAAGCAUAAUGUUCACAGCAGUAUACAUGAACUUUUAUGGGAUCAAAUCCAUUUGCAAUUCUGGAUCCAAAACCUCUCCUGAAAUUGGACUGCUGCCUCAAUAGAGUGGGCAAGAAUGUAGGCCUCAAGCCAGGGAUCAUCUGCACCCCAUCAGCCACCAAACUGAGCUGUAAAACUCUCUACCUGCUCCACAUGACUUGUUCACUCAUACAAGCUUGCUGUGUGAUAACACGGAAAGAAAAGCAUCUGUGCAUCUGCUAUGCCGACCUUUAGCACUGCAUAAUUCACAGAAUCUGGUGCUUGAGAUGUGCAGGACCUGAGCAAGGCUGCAGUCUGUGUCUGCUGCUAGAAACCUCUCUAAUGCCUUGCACAACACUUUGUGGGUCCUGUUCUGGAGACCAGGGUGCUCUGGCAGCCUUAGGUCCACCUUACGGAAGCAGCUCCCAAGUUUUGGGUUAGAUUUGGCCCAACCUGAGUGUGGCAAACCCCAGAAAGCUGCUUCACACUAUUCUAAAUCCAGCUUCCAUUAUCUAUAUUCCUUAAUUAGAGCAAAUGAAUACUAAUUAUUCAUGGCCACUAUUUUAUCAAAGUGAAUGGCAGCAGCAGUUGGAAUCUUUGUCUGUUACGCUUGUACAAUGUUGAUAUAUUCACUUCGUGUGUGCUAUUCUGGUGUACGUUUACAGUGGAAGUGGUAUGAGGCUAAUGCCACGUCAGUAAACAUUUAAAUACUGUUGACUGAGCAGUUGAUGACCCUAAAUAGGGAGCACAAAAUGUUAAGAGCAAGGAGGCUUACAUUAGCAUAGCCCCUUCUAUAAAUAUGUGCUAAACCAUAGUUAAGUUCAUAGAAGUCCCCUAUUUGAGUAACUCAGCAAAACAUUGCUGGUUUUCAUUCUCUUUGACUGAAUUUUGUGGUUAGUCAACAUUUUAAUAUAAUUAAUUAACACCAUCACCUGACAAAACUGCCGUACUUGCUGACACUGCUGGAAAAAGGAAUUUAAAAAUGUCGGGGAGAGUAAGAAAGGUUCUGAUAUAUUUGGCCCUGUCUGGCAUGUCAAUAUGUACUGAUCCAUUUCACCUUUGUUCAUAUUUUCAUGAACGGAAUUUAUCAUAAAAAUAGGUUCUC
This 1617-nucleotide long non-coding RNA is filed under the name Anas platyrhynchos platyrhynchos (common mallard). Its description in RNAcentral is "lncRNA (ENSAPLG00000027789.1)". Lineage: Eukaryota; Metazoa; Chordata; Aves; Anseriformes; Anatidae. The record is from RNAcentral.